Long non-coding RNA from Cotesia glomerata, 857 nucleotides. RefSeq lists it as uncharacterized. The record is from RefSeq and is a predicted model, not a curated record. The transcript has 3 exons. Lineage: Eukaryota; Metazoa; Arthropoda; Insecta; Hymenoptera; Braconidae.
CAAUAGAGCCUUAAGUCGUUAAAUCUCACGUCUACUGAUUUAAAAAAAAAACGAAUAGAAUAAUUACUACCAAGUUCGAUAAAUCGAUAAUCCUUUUAUUCCACCUCUUUGUAAGUUGUAUUAAUUUAAAUAAUUCUUAUUAGUGUCAAAGGACAAUAGAUGCCAAUAAAUCAUUAAUUCAAACAGUGACGAGUGGGUGGAGAAGUGAUAAUCUGCAGAUUAUCUAUUUCAUUUGUCUGGCUAAUGUUGGUCUCAAGUCUCAACAGAAACAGACGCGUGGGAAGGGGCUAUAACCCCGUAUACGGAUAUACCACAAACAAGCUUAUCCCAAAGCCUAAAGUUUGUAAUUCUGUACAUAAGGUCGGUACUGGUCAAGAAAAUCUAAAAUCAUCCAGUUAACUUUGUCCAUAAAAUAAACCGCUCUUUAGUGAACGAGCCGCUAAGUACUGGACAACUGACAACGUCAAUGGAAUUAAGGCUUGAGGGUGGAGAAGUACUGCUUUAAGGCCUUGAAGUAUUCUUUGGCCAAUGAAGAACAUCAUGGGUGUUCCUAAAUUCAUAACCAUAAGGUUACUGAAUUCUCUUGUUGAUUUAAAUACCAUCAAUACAGCUAACAGGGACUCUCAACCAUUUCAAAAAUUAUCCUGCGAAAUAAGAAAUUGAUCGACGGAAUAUCGACGAAAUUGCCGGUCAUUUUUCACACUAAAUUUAUUGCUCAAAAUAUUAGCGCUUUGGAUACAUACACACAUAAACACAUAUAAUAUAUAAUAUGAAUACCUACCAUAUACCAGUUUAUCAUCGGCAUAUCACACGGUCAUCAUUGAGAUUGGUGUGAGUAUUUGACGGGCUGUGUUUUC